This 497-nucleotide ribosomal RNA is filed under the name uncultured bacterium. RNAcentral describes it as "partial 16S ribosomal RNA". It matches the Rfam family "Bacterial small subunit ribosomal RNA", at positions 28 to 507 of the family's 1533-position model. The record is from RNAcentral.
GAUGAACGCUGGCGGCGUGCCUAAUACAUGCAAGUCGAGCGAACGGACGAGAAGCUUGCUUCUCUGAUGUUAGCGGCGGACGGGUGAGUAACACGUGGAUAACCUACCUAUAAGACUGGGAUAACUUCGGGAAACCGGAGCUAAUAACGGAUAAUAUUUUGAACCGCAUGGUUCAAAAGUGAAAGACGGUUUUGCUGUCGCUUAUAGAUGGAUCCGCGCUGCAUUAGCUAGUUGGUAAGGUAACGGCUUACCAAGGCAACGAUGCAUAGCCGACCUGAGAGGAGGAUCGGCCACAACGGAACGGAGGAGCGGUCCAGACGACUACGGGAGGCAGCAGUAGGGAAGCUUCCGCAAUGGGCGGAAGCCUGACGGAGCAACGCCGCGUGAGUGAUGAAGGUCUUCGGAUCGUAAAGCUCUGUUAUUAGGGAAGAACAUAUGUGUAAGUAACUGUGCACAUCUUGACGGUACCUAAACAGAAAGCCACGGCUAACUACGUG